This 1595-nucleotide small RNA is filed under the name Pyricularia oryzae. Its description in RNAcentral is "Magnaporthe oryzae sRNA M_BR32_EuGene_00145671". The record is from RNAcentral. Lineage: Eukaryota; Fungi; Ascomycota; Sordariomycetes; Magnaporthales; Pyriculariaceae.
UAAUGGGUUAAAACAAUUAAACGUUUAAUUAAAUAAUUGGGGUUUUUAAUAAUUGGGGGGUAAAAUUAUAAUUAUAUUUUAAUAAAUAUACAAAUUAAUUAAAAUUUAAUUGCUAUUAAACAAUUUUAAAGUUAAAUUAAUUUAUAUAAUAAUAAACGUAUUUUAUAUAAAUUAUAUUUGAAAUAUAGUUUUUUUUAAUUUGUUUAAUUUGUAGUUUCCAAUUAAAAUUCCACAAAUUACCGAAAUUAAUUCCUUUAUUAAUUACGUGGUAUUACGCAAUUUGUUUUUUAUAUAAUUCUUUUUUGCCGGUCGUUAAUUCUUUUGGGGGAAUAUUAUAAAAAGGGGUGUAACCCCGCCUGGUUUUCCAAGUGCCGACCCAACUAUUUAAUUGUAAUACCAAAGGUCCAGUCGAAUAAAUAACGCCCGGGUUAAUAAUUUUAUUACGGAAAUAAUUAAAUCUUGGCGGUUUUAUAUUAUAAACCCGGUUAUUAACGCUAUUAAACCGGAAAACCGUUAAAAUAUAAACGAAAUUAAUAUAAUGGAAAAUAAAAAAUUUAACGGCCUGGUAUUAGGGUUUAACAGGAUUCCGCCAUUGCAACGGAAAAAGCCCGGAACGCGGGGUUGGACAAUUAUAAUCGAAUAUAUAUCGGUUACGGGCGUUACCCUCCCUUUUCUUAUUAUAUUUAAAGGAAAAAACGUAUAAUAAUAAUAAUUUCCGACGGAUUUAAAUUCUUUUAAUAAUUGGUAAUUUUACGCAACCGAUAACGGGUGGACAAAUAACAAAACGGUUAUUAAAUGGUUAAAAAAAAGGUUUAUUCCGUAUAUUUAACUUUUAACCCCUGAAAAACGGUUAUUAAUUUUGGAUAAUUAUAAAUUAUAUAUAACGGACGAAUAUAUAUUUUUUUGUUUGCAAAAUAAUAUUUAAUUUUUAUAUCUACCUUUUUAUUCGUUAUAUAGUUUUCAACCAUUGGUAUUUAUUGGUUUUUGGGCUGUUAAAAAAUUUAUUAACGUUAAUUUGGAUUUAUUAACCAAUUUUGCUAUUUAACAAUUAUUGGAAAACAAAAUUUCCUAUUUUAAUAUCGAAAAACCAAAUUAAAAAUAUUUAUAACAAAAACCAUUUAAUUUAAUUGGCGUAUAGCGGGGUUAUGGCCGGUAAAUUUGGUUAAACUAUUCUUAAAUUUUUCUUUAUUAAAAAAUAAUAAUUUCAACGUUAUAAAAAAUUAAAAUAACGGUUUGGAAAGGGAUAAUAUACCGGAAAAUCCAACCCAAAAAAUUAACGACCCGUUUUUAUUUUUUUGGAAAACCCCUAAAUAACCCGAAAUAUCCGAUUUCAAUUGCAAAAAUUUUCCCAAUUCAACAUAACCAACGUUAUUUGACGUUUUUUAUUUGCAAAAAUCCAAAAAAGUUUCGAAGCCAAAAAUACCUUUUUAGUUAACGCCCAGCAAAAAAUUAAUUUAUUGGAAAUACAAUUAAAAAUAAUACGGCCGGUUAAAAAAAGGAGGGUGGUUCCGGAUCCAAACGAAUUUUUGGUUAGCAAAUAAAAUAUUAUUGGAUUGCAGGAAAAUAAUAUAGAAAAUUUGAAACUUUUAGCUUAU